GGUUGCGAUCAUACCAGCACUAAUGCAUCGGAUCCCAUCAGAACUCCGUAGUUAAGCGUGUUUGGGCGAGAGUAGUAAUAGGAUCGGUGACCCCCUGGGAAGUCCUCGUGUUACAACCC
This 119-nucleotide ribosomal RNA is filed under the name Helianthus annuus (common sunflower). The record is from RNAcentral. Lineage: Eukaryota; Viridiplantae; Streptophyta; Magnoliopsida; Asterales; Asteraceae.